CACUUUUGGAACCAAGUGGGAUUAACUAUAGUGCGUAUAAAGAGGUGUUAGAAGCUGAACCCCCUGAGUGGCUACCAGAUAGUUCUACUACAGUUUGCAUGCAGUGCACUGCACCCUUCACAGCGCUUACCCGUGGAAGGCAUCAUUGUCGAUUUUGUGGUGGGAUUUUUUGCAGAGCGUGCUCCAAAGGACGGUGCUUGCUACCCGUUAAGUUUAGGGAGAGGAAUCCACAGAGGGUUUGUGAU
RNAcentral lists this unclassified non-coding RNA (245 nucleotides) under Hevea brasiliensis (rubber tree). The record is from RNAcentral. Lineage: Eukaryota; Viridiplantae; Streptophyta; Magnoliopsida; Malpighiales; Euphorbiaceae.